GACCCUGAUGAUGAUGAACACAAUAACUUUCGUUCUCCUGAGGCUAUGAAUGCUGAAAAUCAUUGGAGACCUGAACUGAAGGGUU
This 85-nucleotide small nucleolar RNA is filed under the name Cucumis sativus (cucumber). RNAcentral's name for it is "snoRNA snoZ159". It matches the Rfam family "Small nucleolar RNA Z159/U59". From Rfam's summary of the family: This family consists of several snoRNA Z159 or U59 sequences which are members of the C/D class of snoRNA which contain the C (UGAUGA) and D (CUGA) box motifs. This family seems to be found exclusively in rice. Lineage: Eukaryota; Viridiplantae; Streptophyta; Magnoliopsida; Cucurbitales; Cucurbitaceae. The record is from Rfam by way of RNAcentral.